Molecule: ribosomal RNA, 297 nt
Filed under: Priestia flexa
Lineage: Bacteria; Bacillati; Bacillota; Bacilli; Caryophanales; Bacillaceae
Description: partial 16S ribosomal RNA
Rfam family: Bacterial small subunit ribosomal RNA
Source: RNAcentral
UCUUCGGAGAGUUUGAUCCUGGCUCAGGAUGAACGCUGGCGGCGUGCCUAAUACAUGCAAGUCGAGCGAACGUCAUAGAAGCUUGCUUCUAUGACGUUAGCGGCGGACGGGUGAGUAACACGUGGGCAACCUGCCUGUAAGACUGGGAUAACUCCGGGAAACCGGAGCUAAUACCGGUUAACAUUUUCUCUUGCAUAAGAGAAAAUUGAAAGAUGGUUUCGGCUAUCACUUACAGAUGGGCCCGCGGUGCAUUAGCUAGUUGGUGAGGUAACGGCUCACCAAGGCAACGAUGCAUAG